Molecule: ribosomal RNA, 696 nt
Filed under: Arthrobacter humicola
Lineage: Bacteria; Bacillati; Actinomycetota; Actinomycetes; Micrococcales; Micrococcaceae
Description: bacterial SSU rRNA
Rfam family: Bacterial small subunit ribosomal RNA
Source: RNAcentral
CAUGCCGUAAACGUUGGGCACUAGGUGUGGGGGACAUUCCACGUUUUCCGCGCCGUAGCUAACGCAUUAAGUGCCCCGCCUGGGGAGUACGGCCGCAAGGCUAAAACUCAAAGGAAUUGACGGGGGCCCGCACAAGCGGCGGAGCAUGCGGAUUAAUUCGAUGCAACGCGAAGAACCUUACCAAGGCUUGACAUGGGCCGGACCGGGCUGGAAACAGUCCUUCCCCUUUGGGGCCGGUUCACAGGUGGUGCAUGGUUGUCGUCAGCUCGUGUCGUGAGAUGUUGGGUUAAGUCCCGCAACGAGCGCAACCCUCGUUCCAUGUUGCCAGCGCGUAAAGGCGGGGACUCAUGGGAGACUGCCGGGGUCAACUCGGAGGAAGGUGGGGACGACGUCAAAUCAUCAUGCCCCUUAUGUCUUGGGCUUCACGCAUGCUACAAUGGCCGGUACAAAGGGUUGCGAUACUGUGAGGUGGAGCUAAUCCCAAAAAGCCGGUCUCAGUUCGGAUUGGGGUCUGCAACUCGACCCCAUGAAGUCGGAGUCGCUAGUAAUCGCAGAUCAGCAACGCUGCGGUGAAUACGUUCCCGGGCCUUGUACACACCGCCCGUCAAGUCACGAAAGUUGGUAACACCCGAAGCCGGUGGCCUAACCCCUUGUGGGAGGGAGCCGUCGAAGGUGGGACCGGCGAUUGGACUAAGU